This 343-nucleotide long non-coding RNA is filed under the name Cyanistes caeruleus (blue tit). RNAcentral describes it as "lncRNA (ENSCCEG00000020609.1)". Lineage: Eukaryota; Metazoa; Chordata; Aves; Passeriformes; Paridae. The record is from RNAcentral.
AUGUAUUAGUGGUUAAUAUUUGUGUAUAAGCUCCUCAUAACUCAAUAAUCCUAUCCCAUUUGCAUUAUUAAUAGGACAGGUAUGAGCUGAUUGAUCAUAAAACCCAUUAACUCAGAUUUGUGCUGCCUUCAGUUCCCUCCACGGAAGAGCCGGAAUCGCUGAGGAUUGCAGGGAGCAGACUCUGUACAGGCCUUUUCAGACUCCAGGAAUCCAGUGAUGAGGAUGAAGAACAAACACUGCUGCAGUGACUGAUGGCCUCUCCUACCCAAUCUCUUGUGGUUGGUAUUCCUGCUCUGUAGCCUGGGAAGGGUUUAGUCCAUUAUUAAACAUAAUUCCAGCUCUG